RNAcentral lists this non-coding RNA (25 nucleotides) under Rattus norvegicus (Norway rat). Lineage: Eukaryota; Metazoa; Chordata; Mammalia; Rodentia; Muridae. The record is from RNAcentral.
AGGGAAAUAAUACUGGGAGGCAGCC